CAGCUGGUGGAAGAGAACAGAACACGACAGUAAGACAACGGCAGUCAGGGCGGCCACCCGCUUGGGACCCACGGCCUGGCUUCUUCCCCAUCUAUCAUCACCCAGAAGGGGGUCCUGCGGGGCACACAGACGUCCCUGUGCUUCACAUGCACACCGCUAGUCCUGGCCUCUGCCCUCAGGCUGUUGAUGCAGAAGCCUGGGAGGUGCUAGAAGAUGAAAAGUGCCAGGGGAAGCUGGGGGGCCUGUGUCCCCUGGUCUUCCCCAGCCGGCCCCUGUGGCAGCUUGGACUCCACCGCUGGCCCCUCGCUCAGCAAGAGCACAGGUCACCCCCAGGAUGGGAAAGGCCGUUGUUUGCGGGGCCAGAAAGUUUCCCUCUGGGUCUACCGAGCCUCGAUUUCUUGAACGCCCACAGCGAGCCCUCCCGACCUCUGGCCGUACACGCAGGAACCGGGGCCCCUUUAUACUUGCUCCUCCUUAGCGGCCGGUUCCCUGUCUGCCCCUUUCCCUCUGUGUGACUGUCCCUGCUCGCGGCACGGGCCUGGUCCCCGGCGGACACGCAGAGUGGGGCCCGGGGUUAGGCUCCCAGCUGCGGUCAGCCAAGGCCCCAGCGGCUUGUCUCAGACUCUCACCGAGCCGCCCUUCCGCAGGCGAGUCCGUGCUGGGGCAGGGAGGGGGUUUGCAUUCUGUGAUUUUGCUCUUUACAGGUUUCCUGACCACAGUGCCGAACGAAGGGCUCUCGAAAGUCUCCAGAGAGCAAGACGGCUCGGAGGGACCACGGAGCUUCCGUCAGGUAGGAGCUGUAGUGCGGACACCAGGAGCUCAGUGUCGACACCGCCGUGGUCUGCACUAAAUCAGGGGAUCUUUUUUGUAUGAAAAUUUGCAUCUGUCCCGUGAUAAAUGUCCCACUUUGAAAAACCGUGUGAAGGCGAAAGAGAAGAAUCUACGUGUGUUUUCUGAUGGAGGCGGUUAGGGUCACUCUCAAAUUAGUGCCCGAAGAGAAUGCUCUCGGAGUGCUAAGGGUCCUCCCUGAACCGGCUGGACCAUGCAAAAGGGGCAUUUUCUAGGUCAGAAAUGGCUCAAGUUACUCUUCUCCCAGGAGGUAAGGAAGGCUUUCUUUAAAAAGUCCCUUAGCCCUUCCAUCCCUGCCAUGGGCCCAGAGAUGCUGGAGGAGAACGGGCCAUGACAAGUCCCCACGCUGUCCGUGAAACCAGUGAUUUCACAUACAGAAGACUUAAAAAUAGGAUCGCUAAUGGCCAGAAGUUUUGAGUCAAAUAUUUAAGGCUAAGGAAAUGAUAUACAUCUAAGCAUUCACAAACACUUUUUAAAAAAUCAUCUUUAGGCUGUUUUCAAACCAUCAGGAAGACCAGUGCGGCUAAACCUUGGUGUUUAUGAGAAAACUACUCCAGUGGGCAGUCCUGGGCAAGUUUCUCAUUAUGUUGUAAGAAAAGAUGUUGAAGCCAAGCCCCAUGGGAAAAACAAGAAGCACAAAUGAAACCAUCCUCUCUCCUGAGAAAUCUUGUCUUUAAUUUUAAUGAAAAGUACCCACCCCACCCCCCCACCGCCUUGCUGAUUCUGCCAGGAACAGGGUUCCUCAGCAUCUUGGCAAGAAGCACUCAUUAAAGUCCUGACUUGGGAGGCUGCCUCUCAAUUUAAUUGACAGGAAGAGCAAUGGCCCUUCUGCGGCUUGUCAAAAUGAACCCUUAGCUGCCCAUCGCAAGUAUCCCAUUCAUUAGAAAAUGGGUUUGAAGGGGUUUCCAACAAGCCAGAUUUUAUUGAGUUAGUCUGAUGACUUUAAAAUGUCUGGAUUUUGUUGCGUUUUCCAGGAGAGCUGAAGUUUAAGCAGUUGGUCAUUUUAAAAGCCCGGAUUGAAGAGUGGGACAUGGAAAUUAAUUGGACUACAGGGCAUACCCAAUAUUUUGGAUAAAGACUUGAAUGGUACAAAACUGAAAAGAAAUUGAAAAAAAGGUCUGUAAUCUUUUGAUGUCCAGAAGAUGGAAUAUAAUGCACUGCUACUUGGUAACCCAGUUUGAAAAGUUUCCUUUGUUCCAUACUUGAAAAUACAACAAAAAUCUGUAUUACAACUAAGAGUGUCCAGAGGGCUGCACAGGAGACUAGAGGUUCCGCGGGGCAACGGAAGGGGACGGUACCAUAUUGUCGGAUGUCCACGCAGAUCUGCUCC
This is a long non-coding RNA of Mustela erminea (ermine), 2179 nucleotides long. RefSeq lists it as uncharacterized. The record is from RefSeq and is a predicted model, not a curated record. The transcript is spliced from 4 exons. NCBI's taxonomy places the organism in Eukaryota, Metazoa, Chordata, Mammalia, Carnivora, Mustelidae.